RNAcentral lists this ribosomal RNA (466 nucleotides) under uncultured bacterium. RNAcentral's name for it is "bacterial SSU rRNA". It matches the Rfam family "Bacterial small subunit ribosomal RNA", at positions 338 to 795 of the family's 1533-position model. The record is from RNAcentral.
CCUANGGGUGGCAGCAGUGAGGAAUUUUGCGCAAUGGGGGAAACCCUGACGCAGCAACGCCGCGUGAGUGAAGAAGGCUUUCGGGUCGUAAAGCUCUGUCAAGAGGGAAGAAAGUGGGAGAUGGUAAUACUGUUUUCUAUUGACGGUACCUCUGAAGGAAGCACCGGCUAACUCCGUGCCAGCAGCCGCGGUAAUACGGGGGGUGCAAGCGUUAUUCGGAUUUAUUGGGCGUAAAGAGCGCGUAGGCGGUUUAUCAAGUCAGAUGUGAAACCCCUCGGCUUAACCGGGGACCUGCAUUUGAUACUUCAAGUCUUGAGUACGGAAGAGGAGAGCGGAAUUCCUGGUGUAGCGGUGAAAUGCGUAGAUAUCAGGAAGAACACCGGUGGCGAAGGCGGCUCUCUGGUCCGAUACUGACGCUGAAGCGCGAAAGUGCGGGGAGCGAACAGGAUUAGAUACCCUANUANUC